Molecule: long non-coding RNA, 1323 nt
Organism: Sapajus apella (tufted capuchin)
Lineage: Eukaryota; Metazoa; Chordata; Mammalia; Primates; Cebidae
Exons: 4
Source: RefSeq, a predicted model, not a curated record
ACUAUUCUUGUGUUCUACUUGUAAGUCCGUUAUCACAUAUAUGAUUUGCAAAUUUUUCUCUUCAUCCUUUUCCCUUUCAUUGUCUUAACAGUGUGUUUCAAAGAGAAGUUUGUUUUUUUUUUUUUCAUUUGAUGAAGUCCACUUCAUUAAUUCCUUCUUUUACAGAUUGUGGUUCUUUUGAUGUAUCUGUGAAAACUUUGCCUAUCCAAAGGUCACAAAGACUUUUUCAAAUUUAAAUCUGUUUAAAGUUUUGUAAACAGCACACGAUAUAGAUCAAAGUUUUUAUUUAAAAAAUGUGUCUAUUCCUAUGUUUAUCUGGUAAUUUCAGAACUAUUUUUGUAAAGACUAUCUUUUCUCUACUUAAUUACCUUUGGAAAUUUGUAGAAUACAAGUGGUCUAUAUUUUUUUGUGGGUCAAUUUUUUGGUAUUCAUUUCUCUUUCAGAUUUUUCUCUCACACAAAUUUCACCCUCUGUUGAUUACUUAAGCUUUAUAAUAAAUCUAGAAAUUAGGCUGUGUUAGUCCUUUAACAGUGUUCUUUUAUGAAGUUGGUUCUUCUAGGUCCUUUGAAUUUCUAUAGAAAUUUUAAAAUCAGUUUGUCAAUGUCUAAAAAAAAAUCCUGUUGGGAUUUUGAUUAGGAUUCUGUUGAAUCUAUAGGUAAAUUUGAGGAUAAUUGACAUAUUAACAAUAGGAAGUAUUCUGACCACUGAAAAAGGUGCAGCUGAACAAUGUUUUCUACCAUUACUUGCAGAAUUCUAGUCUAAUGAGGAGAAAACAUCUAACAAAUCCAAGUCCGGGGACAUUCUACAAAAUUCUCAAGUACUCCUCCAAACCAUGGGGUUAUGGGAAACAAGUAAAGGGAUAAUGAAGUCAUGAUAGAAGAGUAAUGAAGAUACAAAGUUUGGUGAGUACCAACUAGGAAUGAGAGCAACUUACUUGUCCAAAGAGCCCUUCUUGGGUUAAAGAAAACUGACAUCACUAUAGAGUACAAAGAAAUUACAGCUUGCCUGUUCAGUCAACAAGCAACAACUGCCUUAGUAUGAAGUGUUACUCAUACUAUUCAGAAAUGAAUAAUGCAGCUUACAAGCAAAACCAGCACCAAAGAGCUAAUAAAUAAAUGUUCAAGGAAGUCAAAAUGCUCUGAGCAGAGCAGCAUGUAAUGAAUAAGCAAACAAGAAAAUGAAAACAAACAAUGAAAAUCAAUGUGAUGAAGUGCAUUGGUGUAAUGGAGCCUAAGUAGUCCCAGUUCUGACAUCUUUGUGUGCCUCUGACUGCUCUUAGUUACCUACAACGUUUACUGCAGGCUUAGCUCAGGAUCCCGUUUU